AGCCUGUGUGUGUGUGGCUCUCAGCAAAUGGAUUUACCCUGUCCACGUCAUGCAUUUCUCUAGAGAAUGAUGGGAGUUGUGAUCCAUACCUCCGUGUGCAUAAUGGUUGUACCUGCUCCAGGAAGGCGCUGGAUCCUCCCAACUCCAUGGGAAGAGAUUAGGACACAAACAACAGACAGAAGGUGACCACAGGAGGACACAGUGAGAAGCUGGCCAUCUGCAAGCCAAGGAGAGAGACCUCAGGAGAAACCAAACCUGCCAGCACCUUAAUCUUAGACUUCUAGCCCUCAGAACGGUGAGGAAAUAAAUC
RNAcentral lists this long non-coding RNA (310 nucleotides) under Homo sapiens (human). Its description in RNAcentral is "non-protein coding lnc-EMX2-5:9". The record is from RNAcentral. Lineage: Eukaryota; Metazoa; Chordata; Mammalia; Primates; Hominidae.